Molecule: ribosomal RNA, 293 nt
Filed under: uncultured prokaryote
Description: partial 16S ribosomal RNA
Rfam family: Archaeal small subunit ribosomal RNA
Source: RNAcentral
GUGCCAGCAGCCGCGGUAAUACCGGCAGCCCAAGUGAUGACCGAUUUUAUUGGGCCUAAAGCGUCCGUAGCUGGCCGCGCAAGUCUGUCGGGAAAUCCACCCGCUUAACGGGUGGGCGUCCGGCAGAAACUGUGCGGCUUGGGACAGGAAGGCUCGAGGGGUACGUUCGGGGUAGGAGUGAAAUCCCGUAAUCCUGGACGGACCGCCGAUGGCGAAAGCACGUCGCGAGAACGGAUCCGACAGUGAGGGACGAAAGCCAGGGUCUCGAACCGGAUUAGAUACCCUGGUAGUCC